GUGGAUGUAGCUCAGUUGGCAGAGCACUAGAUUGUGGUUCUAGUGGCCGCGGGUUCAAUCCCCGUCAUCCACCCCA
Molecule: transfer RNA, 76 nt
Filed under: Candidatus Omnitrophota bacterium
Lineage: Bacteria; Pseudomonadati; Candidatus Omnitrophota
Description: tRNA-His
Rfam family: tRNA
About the family: Transfer RNA (tRNA) molecules are approximately 80 nucleotides in length. Their secondary structure includes four short double-helical elements and three loops (D, anti-codon, and T loops).
Source: RNAcentral